ACGAUGCGAAAUACCAACACUACCAACAUGAACCACGACCCACCGGUGAGACGCUCCGGAACAUGCACCCUGUGUAUGGACAAGGUGUACAUUGACGAGCUGUACACUCAUCGCAAGAUCUGUAAACCUGACGAUACGGAAAUGAUUCUGGCCGAUAAGCAGUCUGAAGAAAACCUCGCAAGGCAGUACUACCUGCAUCCCACCUAUUCACAACAGCAAAGAUGGUGGGGAAGUUUCGUGCCCCAUUUGUGGUGUCAGUAACCUGGCAGCACUAGCUGAGAAGCUGCUGUGAGAUGUGAGCUAAUCAUACAUGCUGACCUCCUUGUCCUCAAGAUUUAACAUAGCUCACACCUGGAACCUCCGCUACAUACACUGUCGUGAAUUCCAGAUACUAAUUACGAAUACGAGUACGAAUACGAGUACGAGUAGCUACCGAACAAGUAUGCCCGUGUUCAAUCACUCAUGAGAAAUGAAAACGAGAAAAAUAUAAUGAAAAAUACGAUAAUAUUAUUGAUGAAUACA
This 522-nucleotide unclassified non-coding RNA is filed under the name Yarrowia lipolytica. The record is from RNAcentral. Lineage: Eukaryota; Fungi; Ascomycota; Dipodascomycetes; Dipodascales.